This is a long non-coding RNA of Oncorhynchus tshawytscha (Chinook salmon), 2053 nucleotides long. NCBI's taxonomy places the organism in Eukaryota, Metazoa, Chordata, Actinopteri, Salmoniformes, Salmonidae. The record is from Ensembl.
GUUGGAACAAUGGGAGACAUAGGGUGCGUUCAUAAAUUCACUCUGGCUAUCUACUCCGAUUUCAGAGCACUCUCGCCAGACCACAGUAUAACUGCUGAAUUUACGAAUGCUCACCAGUUGAAUAUGGCCGGUGUCAGUAAACGUUGGCAAAAUGCGUAAUUAUAUUGUUGCCAAUAGCACAGUUACAGUCACCAACGCUCUGGAUAACACGAAAACAGCCUAAUCAGCUCUACUUGGCAGGGAGACAUGCAGUACCAGCAAAUCUUCUGCAAGAGAACCAAACAGUUGGUGGUUAUGAAGCCCUACACCACUUUCGGCAGUCUUAUCCAGCUGGCUGUUCAUCUCAGUACGGACAGAGAUUAUCACACUACUGUCAAUGGGCUGGAAUAAGAGGAAGUUCACCAACAUGGAUCGCAUGUAACACUCGUCUGAAGAAGUGGACCAUAAUCAUAUUCUUUAAUGAUAACCACAAAAAGAAGAGAGAGAGAACCAACGAAACGUACAGCCUUGAAGGGCUCAACAGCAACAAUACAAGGACAAGAUCCUACAACAUAGAAUGUCAAAAGACUGGAGGAGACCAGCCUCGCAAAAAGCGGGAAGAGCUAGACAUCAACACCGCUGUGCUACAGGAGUGGAUUACUGAGGUCCAGCAGUGGCCUGAUGACACACUUCAGGAUCGUCAGACGGGGCAUCUCCAGAAGAAGCUUGAAGGGCUUUACCACAGUGUGAAAGAGGAAACUACUUCUACCAUUUGACAGGUAAGCCCCAACAACAGUAUGACCUCAAACAUAUUAUUAAUCAAGCAGUAAAAGUGAGUUGUGAAAGAGAAUGCAUUAGUCAUACACAUCAGACCAUGUUAAUGAUCAAAUGUAGGUAUGACCUAUGUUAUUAAUUGAUCUAAUGCAAAACAUGUAAUUAAACUGAGAAAUUAUGUGACCAUGAACCUCUUGUGAGCCACACCUCUGCAUGCCUUGUGUAAUGUUAACUACAUGACGACAAAUGCUUUGGAAAUGAGUUGCUUGCUUUGUAUUCUUUGUUUGUGCCUCUAUAGUAGCUCUAACUUAUAGUCAUGUAAUAUAUCUGAAUAUACAGUCCAUCUAAUCACCCUUUUUAUUUUGACGGCAACAAGAGGCGGCAUCUGAUUCUGAGAAAUUGAGGACAAAGCAGCCUUGACAGCUGCCAUUGUUCAACUUCACGAGCAGCAGGCAGAGUUUAGGCUCCCCACAGUGGAUGAGCAGCUCAAUACUGAUAACUUUGUGUGGCCAUGGGAGAGACUUGGCACCAGUAAAUAUAUGAUUGCAGAAAGUAUCUUUUGUUAUUGAAUGUUUACCUUCAGCGUAGGCUGCAAUCAUUGCUGUUCUGUUAUAUACCUCUGGGUUUACAGCUCACAGGCAACUGCCAUCAAAAGGCAAUCUUCAACAGACUGAUGUUAGUGAACAGACUGCAGGAGGAAGAGAGGAUCCUGGUCCGGGAGAUGAAGAGGCACUGGGGGAGCCUACAAAGAGCAGUGGGAACUGUGGCGGCACUGUACCUACAAGAUAAGUUGAGGUAAUGCAGUGGAGUUUUCAGAGGGAGGGAAGAAUGGCCUUCUCUGCCACCCGAAGAGAAGAUUGAGUGAACUGACACAAGACCAAGUUGACACCAGGAAUACCUACCACAAGCUGAUUCUGGGAGAAGGGGAUAUUUUUUUAUGACUGAUGAGAGGGAGAAGGCCGCCAACCACCUCCCUUGGGAGCAGCCUGGUCUCCUGACGUUGACCCCUCACCUUCUGAACCCAUCCAGGGAAAUGUAAUUUGCCUGAUGAUGUGCUAGUGGAGAAGGAAUGUGUCAUGUUUCCUCUCCUCACCACCUCUCUUCCGGUCCUAGACUAUGGCAACAUCAUCUGCAACUCAUACUGUUGGUUGAGGACCUCUUACUGAGGAAUGUGGUUCUUCAUUAUUAUUUAUCUGUAUUUACUACAAGUAUUUUCUAUGCUGCCAUGAUUGGGGUUUUUGUGAGUUGCAAAAGAGUCCUUGAUCUCAAUGGGACUGCUAAAAUAAAUAAAGGUCUUAAC